CAUAACCUUUGGAGUAUGUUCAUCAUUCUGUAUCUUUAGAGCUGUUCAUCCUUCGUUUUGUUGCUAACAUGUGAUGCGAAUGAGAAUUGUGGGAAUGUCCAGUGGAUUUGAAGCCUGUUAUUGAUGUGUUGGAACUCUAAUUCGUGGUUUUACAAGAUGGGAAAUAUGGACAAUGCAGCAGAGGCUCUGGAAAGUAUGAUUAGAUUUGGAUGAGUUCCAGUAUCCAAUUUAAGUGGCUUAAUCAAUGAAAGCCAAAGUGUUGCAAACUCUGAGAAAUCUGUUAAUAUCUCGAAGCAAGAAAUAUCCGGAGUUGCUUGUCAGGCAGAAGCUUAGAGAACUGGAACUUCUGCUCCCAGUGUUUCCUGUCUAUGGCUUCAUGGUUGCAAAUUCAGGUUCUGGCCUUAGCAGGGUGCUAAAGUGAAUUAACCCUAAAUUGGGUAUAGCAGAUUGAGGUGACAGCUCUCAGUAGCAACAAUGUCCAGCUUCUUUUUUUGUUAACCAGUUAUUGUGGAUUCUUCCAACCAAAGAUGUGGAAUCAACACUUAGAAAGGCUGAAAGAUGAAAAAUGAAAAUUUGGUGCAGUAGGCUGUUGCCAGUGACAAUGCUGAAUAAUAAGUAUGGUGAUUUUGAGUGAGAAGGUUGACUGAUGGUGCCAGCCAAAAUCAAGGGCUGAAUAAUAUGUGGCUGGAGAAGUUGCUAGCAAUACUUGUAAGAGUACCGGCCAAAAUCAAGGGCUGGUUUUCCUUCCUUUUAGUAAGAAAACCUCAUUGAACAUGCAUGCUGGUCGUUUUGACCAUGAGAGACAACUGAAAUUGCUACUGAUUAUUCUUUGUUAUGUAGAUUUUUCUUGUAACUACGGCUGCUAUGAAGUGGCAUACUCUUGUUCUCUUUCAUUUUAUGUUCUGAAUUCAGCCGGUGUUAUGCUGGUCAUUUUAACCGUAAGAGAACUGAAGUUACUAUUGAUUAUUCUUAGUUAUGUGGUUUUUUCUCGCAACUAUGGCUGAUAUGAUGUGGCAUACUUUCGUUCUCUUUCAUUUUAUGUACUGAAUUGAGCUGGUUUUUCCUUCCUUUUAGUGAAAAAACCUUAUUGAACAUGUAUGUUGGUCAUUUUAACUAUGAGAGAGAACAGAAAUUACUAUUGAUUAUUCUUUAUUAUGUAGUUUUUUCUUGUAACUAUUGCUGCUAUGAAGUGGCAUACUGCUGUUCUCUUUCAUUUUAUGUACUGAAUCUAUCACUCUGCAGGGGUGGCGGUAUCUCAUGUAACCACUGCAUGCAAUAGCCCUUUAGGGCAGGAGCUGAUGUUCUCUACAUUCAAGGCUAGUGGAAUAUUUUUUGUUCCAGCUCAGCACUCUCAUGGUGUCCAUUUCUUUUAAACCUUUCCUUUUUCUUUGGCGGGAUAAAACUUGUCUUUCUUUGUUGGAUGAAUUGGAAUCACUAAAAAGAUUAGGCACAAUACAAUGCUCCUAGUUCAUAUUUUGUAAGUGAAAUGAUUAAAACAGUAGAGAAACUCGUUUUUAUAUUGUGGGUAAUAGCUUUCUUUUCGUCUUUUUUUUUGUGUGUGUGUGUACAUUCUAAGUUUGAAGAAUAUCCUCUUGAUUCUUGAGUCCUUGCACACUUGCACAGUGGUAUAUCUGCAAGA
Long non-coding RNA from Quercus lobata, 1639 nucleotides. RefSeq lists it as uncharacterized. The transcript has 3 exons. The record is from RefSeq and is a predicted model, not a curated record. Lineage: Eukaryota; Viridiplantae; Streptophyta; Magnoliopsida; Fagales; Fagaceae.